Molecule: long non-coding RNA, 5622 nt
Organism: Patella vulgata (common limpet)
Lineage: Eukaryota; Metazoa; Mollusca; Gastropoda; Patellidae
Exons: 4
Source: RefSeq, a predicted model, not a curated record
AUAUAUAUAUAUAAAAUAUGUAGAAGCAAACUGUCGCAUUGUUAUUCCUGUAAGACAGACGUCUUAAGAAACUGUGAGAAGUAAAAACACAACGUGAAGCAGAAGUAAAGACAGCUAGAGACAAAUUCUAGACGAUCACAAGGCUACAGAAAUAUGUAGUAAGAAAAGAUGCAUGGGUUGUAUGUAGGAUGUGGCGACCGGUUUCCCAUAGACGCUCUCCACGUCAGACAGAAGACUCAUGGUGCUACAUAUUCUAUUUGGUGCACGUGACUACGAGAUCGAGUAACCUGGAAGAAGAAUACAUAUUCUAUUUGGUUGCCGUGACAGUUUCGACCUUUAGGGUAAGCAGAAAAUUUGGAAGAAGAUUAGAAGAAAAGAGAGUAUGCAUCACACGUUGGAUGUGGUGAGUUCUCCCGUAAUAUUUUCCACAUCUAACCAGUGACUGCAUAGCACUGCAUAGUCUUACAUAUUCGAUUUGAUGCCGUAACGCAGUUUCGACCUUUGGGGUAAGAAGUCACUUUAGAAGAAGAAUACAUAUUUGAAGACGUUAAGAAGAAAACCUGUACAAUCCAGCAACAGAAAAUUUCUGGUGGAAAAAAAGAAAUCUGGUGGAGAUAUUCGAAAAAUUGGGUAAAUACAUUUUGUUUGGAAAAUUAAAUGUGUUAAAUUUGUUUAAAGACCAAAUAAUAUUAAUUUAAAGUUAACAUCUGAUAAGAAACUAAGUAUUUAAAAUUUAACUGUAUAGAGAAUAAAUUAGAGUCAUUCAUAAGUUGAGAUUGAUAGGUUUAUUAAACAAUAUAAUAUCACUGGUUAGGUAUGUAUAUUAUCGGGUUAACAUGACCUGUUGUAAAUUUGAGUAAAAUUAAAGUUAAAGAGAAAGUUUAGGGAGUAGGUUUUAAAAAAAAUGUUUUGAUAUAACUAAGGAAUAAUAAGGAAACGGAAUAGGGAAUAAAAUAAGGAACUAAUGUUGUCUCCGGAUCGCAGUGGGAAGACGGCAGAUCUAAGGAUGACGUUUGUGAGUGAUUAACUCUAAUUUCCUAGUUGGCCGUGGUUUUUACUGUGAUUCGUUAAUUUGUGUUUUUUUGUUGUUUCGUAUACUAUAUAAUUUUGAGGCCCUUAGUCGAGGCCUUAGAGUUGUUGUAAUUUAACUUUUGAUUAAAAAGUUAGGUUAUGUUGAAAAUCCCAUAUGGUUCAUCUAGGGAUGUUGGUUAUAGUUUUCCUGGGAAAAAACUAAAAUUAUUGGCACGUUAAAUUGUGAGAUUAUCGCAAAGUCAUUAAUACGAGUUUAAUAGGAGGUUAAAGUUAAGAAUGCGACACUUUUUUUUAGAAAAGUGUAGGUAUACGGUAGAUUUUGUCCGUAUAUAAUUUUAUGUAAUUAAAUUUUUGCUUUAGAAACGUAAUAUUAUCGUUUAAUAUAUACUGCUAAUUGUUUUAAGCUGUCGACACAAGAGGAUAGGAAUGUGUAAUUUGACAUGAGGUCGAAUUAUAAUAAACAAUAGGUUCUAACACUGUGUUAAAAGUCACGUUAUGCGUUAAUAUAUAGGAUAUAGUAAACUGUAUGUGUUUUAGACUAAUGUUCCUGUGGAUGAAAGUGCACUCAUUCACUUGGGACAUGGUUAUAAAUUAAAUGAAAAUGGGGUUUUGCAUCAAACUGUAGGAUGGAAUGGAGUGUCAUUCAUAUACUGAUCAUAUUUGAUUGACAGUUCUAUUCUAAAUAACCUGUUAGGUAAUACUAAUGUGGAAUAAGUAACCAUGGGCUUAUUUCAUGUAUUGAUUUUUGACUAACAUACAAAAUGGUGGAUUAUAAUGAUUAGGUCAAAAAGGUCACAUUACUGACGGUGAAAUAUAAAAUAACAAUGUAGGAAUUCUAAAACAGAAAACGCAAUUAUAAAAUUACUGAUCGAGUUCAGGUCAUGAGGUCAAAGUAAGUUUGAAGAUUUAUAAUUAAACGGACACAUCAAAGUUUAUUAAUACUUAAAUAAAGUUACUUUUAAUUAAGAGUAAGAUUUACAAAUAAUUUUUCGAAAUAAUAAUGUUAGAUUAAUAUGAAAAUAAAGUUUUAAAAAAAAAUAGUAAUAGUUAGUUCUUGGUCUGAUGGCAAUGACAUGUUUGAUUGACGGAUAAAAUUGUACAAACCAAUCAUACUUAGAAGAAAAAAAGAAAGUUUCAACUUGAUACUAUGGUAGCUGGAACAGACCAAUACAAAUCCAAGAAGAAGAAAUGGUUUACCAGUUUACCAAAUUGACAUUUUCUGAGACAGAAUUUAAUGUGAAACCUGAACUUUAUAAAUAUUAUGUGAUGUGUUAUAGUGUUUUGAAAUUAGGACACUUGAAGAUUUAAAAAAGACAAUUUGUGUUUUCUGUGUUUAGGCUUAGUGGAUUUUCAUAGGAUUUUACAGUGAUGAACUUUUUGGAGAACUUUUGCAUGCAACUUUUGACUUUUGAUUUUUGAUUAUUUGUUUUUAUUUCAUAGUUUUGUUAUAUAGUAUAGUAUCAUUGAUAUUUGCCUGUUGCAUGAAUAAUUAUAGGGUUUAGCACAUAGAAGUUUUAAGAGUCUCUUACCUGUUCAUUUAGCAUAAAUCUUGCAAGUGGGGGAGGUGAUAUAUGUUGAUUUUCUAGAUUUCUGCUACAUUUAUGAAUAGUUAUAUAAUUCUACAGAUGUUGGUAUGGUUAUUAUAAAGGAUUCGAGGGAACUUUUACCCAAAACCGAGCAAAAAGUCUUAAAGAAAGGGACGAAUGUAAUACUUUUAGUAGAAUUUUUGCUCGAGAAAUAACAUAUUCGCAUAAUAUGUGAUAUGUACUUAAAAUACUUAAAUCAACUUAGGGUUUGAAUAAAAACACUUAUAGAGCCAUAACAUAACUGGUUCUAUGUCAACAACAUGUUAACAGAUAUCUCAUGAGAAUAUUCUUCAGUAAAAUUCCAUUCCACCAUAUAAGGGUGGGUUGUCGACGUCACUGGGCUCAAUUAACCAAUCUCUAUAAUUAUUUACAUCAUAUUUGACCAAUUGGAUAAUUGAAUGUCCAAAACCAGUAGAUACAAAAUUAGGAUACUGGUGAGAAUUCGCCAGACUUGCAUUAGAUUCCAGAGAUCGAGGGUACAUCUGAGUUCCUAGACAGCCGAGAGGCUGGAUAGGGUGGAGAAGUGGUUUUAGCUAUAUAGUAUUGUAAUUUGUGCUAUGCUUGUAUACCUGUAUUCAGCUAUAUAUAUAUAUAUAUAUAAAAUAUGUAGAAGCAAACUGUCGCAUUGUUAUUCCUGUAACACGGACGUCUUAAGAAACUGUGAGAAGUAAAUACACAAGGUGAAGCAGAAGUAAAGACAGCUAGAGACAAAUUCUAGACGAUCACAAGGCUACAGAAAUAUGUAGUAAGAAAAGAUGCAUGGGUUCUACGUAGGAUGUGGCGACCGGUUUCCCAUAGACGCUCUCCACGUCAGACAGAAAGACUCGUGAUGCUACAAACUUCAAUCUGAUUGGUCGAGACUUUGGAACACAACAACUCUCCUAAUGGAGGUACACUGUUCAAACUUGGUGUAGGUGUCUAUUACUGUAUUAGGUGAAUGCAUUGACAUUCGAUCAUGCGCAUUUUCCACUUCGGCUAAGCAGAGAUAAGCAAUUUGAUUUGUUGAGACCAUGGAAGACGAUAAUUUGGUGAGAGCGAUGAAACUCCCGAGUAUAGAUUCAUUAUAUCAAUACUUUGACUAAGUUCGAUAAAGAUGAUUUUCUGCUUGGGCAUUUCGGACAGGAAAUCAAUAUCGAGGAACAUUAUGGAAGUAUCAGAGAUUUCGUCAAACGGCCGCCGAAUUGGAUUUCGAAAAUGUAUUAAUGCCAGAAAUGAAAUUCUAACGCUUACUGUAUCAGUGCCUUUAACCAGUUCUACCACAUGUAAAACUGGUGGACACCAAAAUUGUCCUUUAAAGAAAACCAAACGACAAACCAAGGAACACAAAAUAAGAAUUACCCACGGCUUAUAACACGAACACGCCCUUUUAAAAUUGGUGGAGCAUUGCCUUUAACGAGACCGUAUAAUCAAGAAACAGGAGCGACACCAGACAACUAUAAAAACCAAAUUUUAACACGUAGUGCUACCGCCUCUACGGCAUCAACAACCAGUACGGGGGUACACAGUGCAUCACAAUCGUCUAUAUCAACACGAAGUAACAGUCAAAACAGGACAAUGAAUCCAGUUCACUUUACCAUUCCCACUUUUCAUGGAUUAAAGUCAGAAAACGCUACACUAUGGCUCAAAAAUGUGGAAUUGUAUUGCUCUAUGCCAUCAUUAGAUGAUGGUCGCCAAUAACCAUCAAUUAUUAAUCAAGGACCAAAGAGAUUCGUGUUGGCUUUCUGCUGAUAACAUUUAUUCAGAUAUGACCAAGAAUUCCCACAUCAAAAAGUCAAUGGAUGGUAAAGCCAAAAAACGAAAAUUCAGAACUUGUUACUUUACAAAAUCAAAAUAAAUCUCGUAAAAUUUCAUCUUUCUUGCUAAUGAAAGUGAUACCGAUUUGUUAUAUAAAAAAAGGAUAUCCGUAAUGCAGGACGGAGAACCUGACAAGGACAGCUGUCUAGUCGUUCGGAUGGGACGAAAAACCGAGGUCCCGUGUACACAGUUGCGUGCACGUAAACGAUCCCUUGACAGUUGGAAUUCGAUAUAAGAGUAGGCCGUAGUGCCGCUGUACGGGCAAAAUUUCAUUUCACUACUACAAUUUAACAUUUAUGAGCACCAAUUCCCAUCACUGAUAGCUGGUGAUAACGCAAAUCAUCUGAGUCUUAAACCCAUGGUAAAACGCGCAAAACAUGAUUCUAUUAUAUUUAAAUCACUUUCGGAAUCUAUGAUUAAGAAUGAUGUUCCAAUCGUGUCAUCAUUCUUGAUAAUAAAAGUAUUCUUGUUAUCGUGUCAAUGACAUUAUCUGUACUUUGUUCUUUGGUAUGUAUCUUCAUAAUUUGUAAAAUGCGCACAAUUACAACAGCGCUUGUAUUAGCCAAGAAAGUCCAAGCCUCAUCUGAGCUGCCGUCAUUCGAUUACAAAUUCCAUGCGUCAGAUACUGAAGACCUGGCUAACUCUUCGGAUACACCAUUGGAUCAUUUGGCAUAGUAACGAUCCUUUUGUUUUGCAUCAUUGUGAUGGUGCUUUUAUAACAUCGGGCUCAUUGUGGUACCACCCCAAUUAUUCACCUCCCAUUCUUCCCAGCCUACUACACAUUUAAUCAAUCUUCAUACAUUUCAAAUCUAAGGGUCUCCUACUCCCUUUGGCCAUAUCUAACCCUGGACUAUCCUAACCUCCAGUAUAUUAACAAAAUCACCAAUACAUCACACCCUGUAACUUAUCGUCUACGGAUCUCCUUAUCCCAGUAAGCUUUCAGAGCUAAUUCAAACGAGCAAAUGAUUAGCUAAAUUUAGAUUUACGUCGAAAUGACAAUUCGGCAGCUACGCCGCCUAUCAGGAACACUUGUCGCCUCUUACAAUUACACACGUAACGUCAUUUACAAAUAGUGCCUCUGCACAGCCAAGUGAGUUAGCUCUUCCCACCCCCAUUCUUUUAUAACUCAUAGUUCAUUUGUAAAUCUAUUGACUUAAAAUUGUACAUUGUAUUGAUUUUGUAUUUUAUUAUGAUUUGACAUAAUACAGUA